AUGCACGCUGGCGGCGUGCCUCAUACAUGCCAGUCGAGCGCACAGAUGAGGAGCUUGCUCCUCUGACGUUAGCGGCGGACGGGUGAGUAACACGUGGAUAACCUACCUAUAAGACUGGGAUAACUUCGGGAAACCGGAGCUAAUACCGGAUAAUAUAUUGAACCGCAUGGUUCAAUAGUGAAAGACGGUUUUGCUGUCACUUAUAGAUGGAUCCGCGCCGCAUUAGCUAGUUGGUAAGGUAACGGCUUACCAAGGCAACGAUGCGUAGCCGACCUGAGAGGGUGAUCGGCCACACUGGAACUGAGACACGGUCCAGACUCCUACGGGAGGCAGCAGUAGGGAAUCUUCCGCAAUGGGCGAAAGCCUGACGGAGCAACGCCGCGUGAGUGAUGAAGGUCUUCGGAUCGUAAAACUCUGUUAUUAGGGAAGAACAAAUGUGUAAGUAACUAUGCACGUCUUGACGGUACCUAAUCAGAAAGCCACGGCUAACUACGUG
Molecule: ribosomal RNA, 496 nt
Filed under: uncultured bacterium
Lineage: Bacteria
Description: partial 16S ribosomal RNA
Rfam family: Bacterial small subunit ribosomal RNA
Source: RNAcentral